RNAcentral lists this long non-coding RNA (384 nucleotides) under Lathyrus oleraceus (garden pea). Its description in RNAcentral is "Pisum sativum (pea) long non-coding RNA (PSAT_LNC017075)". The record is from RNAcentral. Lineage: Eukaryota; Viridiplantae; Streptophyta; Magnoliopsida; Fabales; Fabaceae.
GCGUUUGCAACCGUGGGAAUAAUCUCACUCUCCAACAAACAAUGAAGAAAUCAAAUCAAUUCACACAAUGUCUAACAAUUAUAAAUGGUAAUGCGGAAGCACGAAGAUCACUAAGGACUUUUCGGUUGUAGCUUGGUUAGGUUAACAAACAGGGGUCAUUUCUAAGGCCAUUGAAAACGAAAUUGCUGAUGCAAAAGAGACAUUCACUGUACACUAUUCAUACAUCUCAACUUCGUUCCAUUUGUUUCUCAUUUGAAACCUUCACAACUCUUAUUUCACAACUCAAUUUUUGUUUUUCACUAUUUUUCUUCCAAGCAAGCAUUCAUUUUUAUUUUCUCUAUUUUUUUUUCUUUCACAUCAUAUUUACAAAACAGAUGUUUGUCU